RNAcentral lists this long non-coding RNA (506 nucleotides) under Durio zibethinus. Its description in RNAcentral is "long non-coding RNA (DZIB_LNC001076)". Lineage: Eukaryota; Viridiplantae; Streptophyta; Magnoliopsida; Malvales; Malvaceae. The record is from RNAcentral.
UUUGUAUUUCGACGCUCAAAUCAAAAGUUGGUACAUAAUAAAUUUAUAAUUCCGAAUCGAUAAUUGAUUAGGACAUUUAAUUGGAGUGAUCUUAGAUUAUAUUAAUUAAUGCAGGCAAUUCAUCAUUUAUAUUGGUAAAAACAAGUUUUUACUCCAAAAUUUGAGGCUUUGAGGCCUUCACAAAUAUUAAUUACUGUUCAUGUAAACAUAAACAGACUAUCAAGCUUAUGUAUAUAACAAGAAAAUAAAUUAUCCCUUACACAUUCUAGGAUUAAUUCCCCAUAUAUAGAUUAUUUCUUGCCCCCAAAGUAUCUACCAAGCUUAAGCUUACCCCAUAUAACCAAGUCCUACAGCAUAUUGAACAAGAGCUUCCAACUCUUCCUCACUUAUGAACCCAUCUCCAAUUUCAUCAGCAUGAAGUGCUGCAAGAGACCAAGGUCAUUGAGGGCUUUCUUAAGCUCUUCCAGGCAGGGCCUGGGUUUAUAUAGAGGUUAUUUCUCCAAGCA